RNAcentral lists this ribosomal RNA (406 nucleotides) under uncultured bacterium. RNAcentral's name for it is "partial 16S ribosomal RNA". It matches the Rfam family "Bacterial small subunit ribosomal RNA", at positions 30 to 526 of the family's 1533-position model. The record is from RNAcentral.
AUUGAACGCUGGCGGCAGGCCUAACACAUGCAAGUCGAGCGAGUGGCGGACGGGUGAGUAAUGUAUGGGAAUCUGCCUGAUGGAGGGGGAUAACUACUGGAAACGGUAGCUAAUACCGCAUACCAUCAGAUGAACCCAUAUGGGAUUAGCUUGUAGGUAAGGUAACGGCUUACCUAGGCGACGAUCCCUAGCUGGUCUGAGAGGAUGACCAGCCACACUGGGACUGGGACACGGUCCAGACUCCUACGGGAGGCAGCAGUGGGGAAUAUUGCACAAUGGGCGCAAGCCUGAUGCAGCCAUGCCGCGUGUAUGAAGAAGGCCUUCGGGUUGUAAAGUACUUUCAGUGGGGAGGCGUUACCGGCAGAAGAAGCACCGGCUAACUCCGUGCCAGCAGCCGCGGUAAUAC